GGGUCGUUAGCUCAGCUGGUAGAGCAGCGGACUUUUAAUCCGUUGGUCGCAGGUUCUGAAUCCCGCACGGCCUACCA
This 77-nucleotide transfer RNA is filed under the name Massilia sp. B-10. RNAcentral's name for it is "tRNA-Lys". It matches the Rfam family "tRNA". From Rfam's summary of the family: Transfer RNA (tRNA) molecules are approximately 80 nucleotides in length. Their secondary structure includes four short double-helical elements and three loops (D, anti-codon, and T loops). The record is from RNAcentral. Lineage: Bacteria; Pseudomonadati; Pseudomonadota; Betaproteobacteria; Burkholderiales; Oxalobacteraceae.